This 3503-nucleotide unclassified non-coding RNA is filed under the name Hevea brasiliensis (rubber tree). Lineage: Eukaryota; Viridiplantae; Streptophyta; Magnoliopsida; Malpighiales; Euphorbiaceae. The record is from RNAcentral.
CCCAAACCCAAACCCAACGACCCUCACUGCUCUCUCUGCUCAUCGCUCUCGCAUUUCAAUAAAGAUUGAUUUUUUUUUUUUUCUCUCCUUUCCUAUUCUUGAUUUUGAUUAUAUAAGAUUUUUUACCCAUAUCUUCUUGAAUCUGAGAUUUCUAGGGUUUUCAGUAUCGAUCCCUUUCUAGGUUUCGUUAAUAACGAACCACAGAUUUGUGUUAUGCGCGUGUAUUUUAUAGCUUUCUGGGCGGAAUUUAUCAUUUUUGCUUCUGAAUUCGAAGGACAUUCUGUAAGGUUUGAUUUUUGCCCUAACUUUUCAUUUCUCCUUUUAAAAUCUUUGAUUAAUUGGAGUUUAUUUGAGGAAUAAUGAUUGCGUUGGCGAUUCGAUUUGUGUUAUCUUUGAAUCCUCAUAGUGCUCUUUAUAUGCGAAGUAAUCAAACGCUUUCUCAAUUCGGGCGGUUUUAGGGUUUAUCUUGGGACCAGAGAGAACUAAAAGGGUGAAGGGUGAAGAAUUUGGAAUAGUGGAAAAAACUUUUGUAAAACGAAUAUGGUCUAGCUCUUCUCUGAUUUGGGGCAAUCAGAGCCUUGUUGAACGUAUUUUGAUGUCAAUUUAUAUGUGCUUUUGAUCCUAGGAACAGAACCCUGAGGUGCAGUGCUACAAAAAUGGAAUAAUCCAUUCAUUUCUUUUCUUUUUUCCGGCAUAGUUCGAUGAACUGUUGAAGGUCUUUGUCAUUUGAGAUUUUCCUAAUUCGUUGUUAUGAGGAAGAAGAGGAAAGGGAGUGAAACGGAAGCAUGUGCAGAUAUACAAAAUGAAUUAACGCCUAGCCAUGACAAGAAAUCAUCAAAUCUCAGGUCUCAUUAUUCCCUUGAAGAUUACAACAGGUUAAAGAAGAGGUGCAAAGAAGAUGCUGAUAAUGAGCCUGUUAGCUCUUGCAAAAGUAGACUUGCUGGCAUUGCCACUGCCCCACCUUGUGGUGCCUCAUCAUCAUUGGUGCCACCUGGAAGAGGCCUCAAGAGGAAGAUAGGGUGUAUAGAUAAUGCUACCCAGACAGGUAGAAAGAAUAAGAUUGGGGAUGACUAUGUUUCAGGUGCCACCAUUGGGCGUGGUAAAUUUGGUUCUGUUUGGUUGUGUAGGUCUAAGGCAACUGGAGAAGAAUUUGCUUGUAAGACUUUGCAGAAGGGGGAGCAGACAGUUCAUAGGGAGGUGGAGAUAAUGCAGCACUUGUCUGGCCAUCCUGGUGUUGUGACAUUGCAUGCCGUCUGUGAGGAGACAGAAUGUUUUCGUCUUGUGAUGGAGUUAUGCUCUGGGGGCCGUUUGAUUGACCAGAUGGGUCAAGGAGGUUCGAUACUAAGAACAAUGGGCUGCUAAUAUAUUUAAAGAUGUGAUGUCAGUUAUCAAGUAUUGUCAUGAUAUGGGAGUUGUGCACAGAGAUAUAAAACCAGAGAAUGUACUUCUCAUGAGCUCAGGGAAAAUAAAGCUUGCAGAUUUUGGCUUGGCCAUGAGAAUUUCAAAUUGUAAGUCUCCUACCUACUGUAAGCAAUGUUCUAUUUGCUUUCUAAUUGUUGGCAACUAACCCAUAUAAUGUUUUAUCAUACAGUUAAAAUGAAAAUAUUUAUAUGUAUAUCCAGGAAGUUGAUAGAACAAGUUGUCAAAGUACACACUUCAGGAAAUCAAGAGGGCAGGAUAACAUGGUGUCUCAAGUAUAUUUUGGUGUUAUAUAAAAUCUGCUGUCUUUGGCAGGCAGUAUCCUUAGGAAAUAAAUAUGGUGAAUUAUUGGAAAUAGUUUUCUGUAUCUUUCCUUUUUUAUCAAUUAAUGGAGUUCAUGAAUUUUUGUGUAUGAAAAUUUUAUUUAGUGCCAUUUUGUCUAGCUCCAAUUAUGUGUUUUGGUCUAUUAGCUGAAAUUAGAAUGAAGCACAGGAAGAUCUCUAAAAGAUUUUUUUUUCACUCUUCUAUUUACAUUCUAAUUUCAGAUGAAACCAUGCAAGUUAUUUUAAAUCUGAUGGUAUGUGUGGAACAUAUCAGAGCCAUUGUCUGGUUGCCUGCUACCAUAUCAUUGGUACUUUGGAUAAUUUCAUAUGGUGUUAGUAAAUUUCCAGAAUGUGAAAGAUAAAAAGUUAUUGAAAUGUAGAAAUUUAUGCUUGAUAUGCCCAAUUGUGAAUAUAUUCUAUCAUGUUCUUAUUUAUUGGAAUAUUUCUCUGGAAACUUCUAUUCUGAAUUAAAUUUUGACUCCUUUGUGAUUAGCUUGCUUAUAUUCUCAAAGAUUUUCUUGUGCAAUGAAAUGAUGAAUGCAGGUCAGACAUUGUCUGGUUUGGCCGGAAGUCCUGCUUAUGUUGCCCUAGAAGUUCUAUCAGGAAAUUACUCUGAGAAGGUUGAUAUAUGGAGUGCCGGUGUCCUCCUACAUAAUCUCUUGGUUGGCAUGCUUCCAUUUCAAGGGGACUCCUUGGAAGCUGUUUUUGAGGCAAUCAAGAAUGUAAAGCUUGAUUUCCAUAGUGGGAUAUGGGAGUCCAUAUCUAAGCCUGCAUGCGAUCUACUUUCAAGAAUGCUAACAAGGGAUGUUUCAGCAAGGAUAACUGCAGAUGAAUUGCUAAAUAAGUUUCUGUUGCUGACACCUAUGGAUUUUGUUCUACACAGAGCGCAUAUUAAACACACUGUCCAUUAAGUCAAAAAUAAAGAAUCAAGUUGGACCGACUUCCUGUCAACCUGUCACUGUGCCCGUACCAGAGAUACAUGGGAACAAAGUAGAGAGUGUCUCUUUUGGUGAGGAUUCAAAUCAUCAUUCAUUAUCCGAUAGUUGGAGCAGCAAGUCAGAAGAACAGGAUGACUUUGGUUUGGUGGAUGCACUUACAGUGGCAGUUUCCCAUGUCAAGAUUUCAGAGCCAAAGAGAAGCAGGCUGUGCGGGCCCAUAGGUCCGAUAGAGCAGCAGCAUUCAUCUAACCUGACGGCUAACAAUCUCUGUAGAGCAUUUUGUUUCUGAAACUACUGACAAAAUUUAUCUCCACUGUUUUCUAAGCUGGGGAUUUAAAAAUAACAUGCCCUGGUGCAAUUUCAGUGGGCGAAGAUGGUUAACAGAUCAGCAUAACCCUAUCUGUGCAAUAUAUUGGUGUUUCUUUGGAUGCAAUCUAACCUAAUAGUGGUUCCAAGCCUGUGAAUUGAGGAAAUUGAUCUACAGCAUCUGUAAAUAGAAUGAUAGUGAGCAAUUUUAUGAGUUAAUUUUUCAUUGCACCUGUUGCAUGGGGCAGAUUCAGUGCCUUGCAAAGCCUCUAAAUGUGAAAGUACAAGAAUAUUCUAAAUGACUGUCAACUUGUAUGAUGGAAAGCCUUGAAACCUUACAUAGUUACUGGUAUUAGGAUUGGAAGCUAUGACUGUUCUCUCUCUCUAAAUGCGUAUGCGGCAUAGUUGUUGGUUUUUUCAUGGUAUUCCACCGUCAAUGGUGGAUCUCUACAAAGGAGUCAAAAAAGAAAAAAUUGUUCUUGCAGCACCAUUUUCAAACAAUGCGGCUAAAUAUGCG